Molecule: ribosomal RNA, 497 nt
Filed under: uncultured bacterium
Lineage: Bacteria
Description: partial 16S ribosomal RNA
Rfam family: Bacterial small subunit ribosomal RNA
Source: RNAcentral
GAUGAACGCUGGCGGCGUGCCUAAUACAUGCAAGUCGAGCGAACAGACGAGGAGCUUGCUCCUCUGACGUUAGCGGCGGACGGGUGAGUAACACGUGGAUAACCUACCUAUAAGACUUGGAUAACUUCGGCAAACCGGAGCUAAUACCGGAUAAUAUAUUGACCCGCAUGGUUCAAUAGUGAAACACGGUUUUGCUGUCACUUAUAGGUGGAUCCGCGCCGCAUUAGCUAGUUGGUAAGGUAACGGCUUACCAAGGCAACGAUGCGUAGCCGACGUGAGAGGGUGAUCGGCCACACUGGAACUGAGACACGGUCCAGACUCCUACGGGAGGCAGCAGUAGGGAAUCUUCCGCAAUGGGCGAAAGCCUGACGGAGCAACGCCGCGUGAGUGAUGAAGGUCUUCGGAUCGGAAAACUCUGUUAUUAGGGAAGAACAAAUGUGUAAGUAACUAUGCACGUCUUGACGGUACCGAAUCAGAAAGCCACGGCUAACUACGUG